GGAAGUAAAAGUCGAACAAGGUUUCCGUAGGUGAACCUGCGGAAGGAUCAUUAUUGUAAAACAGAGGGGGUGUCUUCCUCCCUGCUCCGGCUUUGCGGCCGUGAGCGGGUGGUCGCGCUCCUUUCCACAACCAAACCCCUGUGCACAUCUCUGGGGACUUCUGGUGGGUUUGCGCCUGCCGAGUCCCUGGCUCUACACAAACUCUUCUAUGUAUUUAGAAUGCUCAAGGACCUCGCGUCCUGUUAACAAAUAACAACUUUCAACAACGGAUCUCUUGGCUCUC
This 283-nucleotide unclassified non-coding RNA is filed under the name plant metagenome. Its description in RNAcentral is "partial contains small subunit ribosomal RNA, internal transcribed spacer 1, and 5.8S ribosomal RNA". The stretch from base 1 to 53 matches the Rfam family "Eukaryotic small subunit ribosomal RNA", at positions 1778 to 1831 of the family's 1831-position model. The record is from RNAcentral.